Molecule: ribosomal RNA, 497 nt
Filed under: uncultured bacterium
Lineage: Bacteria
Description: partial 16S ribosomal RNA
Rfam family: Bacterial small subunit ribosomal RNA
Source: RNAcentral
GAUGAACGCUGGCGGCGUGCCUAAUACAUGCAAGUCGAGCGAACAGACGAGGAGCUUGCUCCUCUGACGUUAGCGGCGGACGGGUGAGUAACACGUGGAUAACCUACCUAUAAGACUGGGAUAACUUCGGGAAACCGGAGCUAAUACCGGAUAACAUGUUGAACCGCAUGGUUCAACAGUGAAAGACGGUCUUGCUGUCACUUAUAGAUGGAUCCGCGCCGCAUUAGCUAGUUGGUAAGGUAACGGCUUACCAAGGCAACGAUGCGUAGCUGACCUGAGAGGGUGAUCAGCCACACUGGAACUGAGACACGGUCCAGACUCCUACGGGAGGCAGCAGUAGGGAAUCUUCCGCAAUGGGCGAAAGCCUGACGGAGCAACGCCGCGUGGGUGAAGAAGGUCUUCGGAUCGUAAAACUCUGUUAUUAGGGAAGAACAAAUGUGUAAGUAACUAUGCACGUCUUGACGGUACCUAAUCAGAAAGCCACGGCUAACUACGUG